CCCUGCAUUCGAAAGUGAUCGUGGGCUGCCCGUGCCCUGGUCAUUGAUAGUGCAGGGAGAGGAAUUGCCGAAAGCGUUUCCCCGU
This 85-nucleotide small nucleolar RNA is filed under the name Microcebus murinus (gray mouse lemur). RNAcentral describes it as "Small nucleolar RNA SNORA71 (ENSMICG00000036364.2)". It matches the Rfam family "Small nucleolar RNA SNORA71", at positions 1 to 85 of the family's 134-position model. Rfam says of the family: The members of this family belong to the H/ACA class of snoRNAs which bind a number of proteins (including dyskerin, Gar1p and Nop10p) to form snoRNP complexes. This class of snoRNAs are thought to guide the sites of modification of uridines to pseudouridines by forming direct base pairing interactions with substrate RNAs. This family includes U71 (SNORA71), ACA39 (SNORA39) and ACA60 (SNORA60). The record is from RNAcentral. Lineage: Eukaryota; Metazoa; Chordata; Mammalia; Primates; Cheirogaleidae.